RNAcentral lists this ribosomal RNA (253 nucleotides) under uncultured bacterium. Its description in RNAcentral is "partial 16S ribosomal RNA". It matches the Rfam family "Bacterial small subunit ribosomal RNA", at positions 524 to 776 of the family's 1533-position model. The record is from RNAcentral.
UACGUAGGCAGCAAGCGUUGUUCGGAGUUACUGGGCGUAAAGGGUGUGUAGGCGGCCUGUUAAGUUCCGUGUGAAAUCUCCCGGCUCAACCGGGAGGGUGCGCGGAAAACUGGCGGGCUAGAGUCCUGGAGAGGAAGGUGGAAUGCUUGGUGUAGAGGUGAAAUUCGUAGAUAUCAAGCGGAACACCGGUGGCGAAGGCGGCCUUCUGGACAGUGACUGACGCUGAGACGCGAAAGCGUGGGGAGCAAACAGG